AUCACUCCUGUAGAAUGCAGUGGUUCAUCAGAACCUCUGGGGAUGUCCUGUGGAUUCUGUGGAUCCUGUGGGUUGCAGGGUGGGUCCUACCUAGACCAGGCUGAUCCUGGACCAUCCCACAGAUGCUCCAUCAGAUCUGGAUGUGGGGAGUGUGGAACCCAGAUGUUCAGAGGGAGAUGAUGCCACAUCUGGUCCAGCUGAUGGAAGGUCUUGAAGUUCUCUGACUGGCCUCGACUGAAGAUGGUCGUCUCACUGGAUUUAAGGUUCAGAUGCUCAGUAACAAACUCCACCAAUGAGCCAACAGGGAAGCUU
Amphiprion ocellaris (clown anemonefish) is the source of this 312-nucleotide long non-coding RNA. NCBI's taxonomy places the organism in Eukaryota, Metazoa, Chordata, Actinopteri, Pomacentridae. The record is from Ensembl.